CAACACACUAACUUGGCAGUCAUUGUUCAAUCUGAUUCUUCGGAGGCACUGUCGGUUUUGACUGGAGACAACCUUUCCCGGUGAACAUAUGGUCAUUUAGUUGCUGAGAUCAAGCAUCUUAUGGUAGAGAAGGAGUUUAUUCCACUGAAGAUUAAACGUGAGCAAAAUAGGGUAGCAGAUCGGUUAACUUUCUAUAGUCGUACGGAGAGUACUACUGCUGUGUGACUAAAUAGAGGUCCGCCCUGUAUAGAGAAACUUUUGCCUCUCAACUGUAACUCUAUUCAUUUGGAAUAA
This 294-nucleotide ribosomal RNA is filed under the name Triticum aestivum (bread wheat). Its description in RNAcentral is "partial small subunit ribosomal RNA". The record is from RNAcentral. Lineage: Eukaryota; Viridiplantae; Streptophyta; Magnoliopsida; Poales; Poaceae.